RNAcentral lists this ribosomal RNA (1059 nucleotides) under uncultured Janthinobacterium sp. RNAcentral describes it as "bacterial SSU rRNA". It matches the Rfam family "Bacterial small subunit ribosomal RNA", at positions 125 to 1183 of the family's 1533-position model. The record is from RNAcentral. Lineage: Bacteria; Pseudomonadati; Pseudomonadota; Betaproteobacteria; Burkholderiales; Oxalobacteraceae.
CGUACCCUGGAGUGGGGGAUAACGUAGCGAAAGUUACGCUAAUACCGCAUACGAUCUAAGGAUGAAAGUGGGGGAUCGCAAGACCUCAUGCUCCUGGAGCGGCCGAUAUCUGAUUAGCUAGUUGGUGGGGUAAAGGCCUACCAAGGCUUCGAUCAGUAGCUGGUCUGAGAGGACGACCAGCCACACUGGAACUGAGACACGGUCCAGACUCCUACGGGAGGCAGCAGUGGGGAAUUUUGGACAAUGGGCGCAAGCCUGAUCCAGCAAUGCCGCGUGAGUGAAGAAGGCCUUCGGGUUGUAAAGCUCUUUUGUCAGGGAAGAAACGGUGAAGGCUAAUAUCCUUUGCUAAUGACGGUACCUGAAGAAUAAGCACCGGCUAACUACGUGCCAGCAGCCGCGGUAAUACGUAGGGUGCAAGCGUUAAUCGGAAUUACUGGGCGUAAAGCGUGCGCAGGCGGUUUUGUAAGUUUGUCGUGAAAGCCCCGGGCUCAACCUGGGAAUUGCGAUGAAGACUGCAAGGCUUGAAUCUGGCAGAGGGGGGUAGAAUUCCACGUGUAGCAGUGAAAUGCGUAGAGAUGUGGAGGAACACCGAUGGCGAAGGCAGCCCCCUGGGUCAAGAUUGACGCUCAUGCACGAAAGCGUGGGGAGCAAACAGGAUUAGAUACCCUGGUAAUCCACGCCCUAAACGAUGUCUACUAGUUGUCGGGUUUUAAUUAACUUGGUAACGCAGCUAACGCGUGAAGUAGACCGCCUGGGGAGUACGGUCGCAAGAUUAAAACUCAAAGGAAUUGACGGGGACCCGCACAAGCGGUGGAUGAUGUGGAUUAAUUCGAUGCAACGCGAAAAACCUUACCUACCCUUGACAUGUACGGAAGGCCGGAGAGAUCUGGUUGUGCUCGAAAGAGAGCCGUAACACAGGUGCUGCAUGGCUGUCGUCAGCUCGUGUCCUGAGAUGUUGGGUUAAGUCCCGCAACGAGCGCAACCCUUGUCAUUAGUUGCUACGAAAGGGCACUCUAAUGAGACUGCCGGGUAACAAACCGGAGGAAGGUGGGGGAUGAC